CUCGUGGAGGCUCCCGUGGUGCUAGAGGCUUGAUGAAUGGAUACCGGGGCCCUGCCAAUGGAUUCAGAGGAGGAUAUGAUGGUUACCGCCCUUCAUUCUCUAACACUCCAAACAGUGGUUAUACACAGUCUCAGUUCAGUGCUCCCCGGGAUUACUCUGGCUAUCAACGGGAUGGAUAUCAGCAGAAUUUCAAGCGAGGCUCUGGGCAGAGUGGACCACGGGGAGCCCCACGAGGUAAUAUUUUGUGGUGGUGAUCCUAGCUCCUAAGUGGAGCUUCUGUUCUGGCCUUGGAAGAGCUGUUAAUAGUCUGCAUGUUAGGAAUACAUUUAUCCUUUCCAGACUUGUUGCUAGGGAUUAAAUGAAAUGCUCUGUUUCUAAAACUUAAUCUUGGACCCAAAUUUUAAUUUUUGAAUGAUUUAAUUUUCCCUGUUACUAUAUAAACUGUCUUGAAAACUAGAACAUAUUCUCUUCUCAGAAAAAGUGUUUUUCCAACUGAAAAUUAUUUUUCAGGUCCUAAAACCUGCUAAAUGUUUUUAGGAAGUACUUACUGAAACAUUUUUGUAAGACAUUUUUGGAAUGAGAUUGAACAUUUAUAUAAAUUUAUUAUUCCUCUUUCAUUUUUUUGAAACAUGCCUAUUAUAUUUUAGGGCCAGACACCCUUUAAUGGCCGGAUAAGCCAUAGUUAACAUUUAGAGAACCAUUUAGAAGUGAUAGAACUAAUGGAAUUUGCAAUGCCUUUUGGACCUCUAUUAGUGAUAUAAAUAUCAAGUUAUUUCUGACUUUUAAACAAAACUCCCAAAUUCCUAACUUAUUGAGCUAUACUUAAAAAAAAUUACAGGUUUAGAGAGUUUUUUGUUUUUCUUUUACUGUUGGAAAACUACUUCCCAUUUUGGCAGGAAGUUAACCUAUUUAACAAUUAGAGCUAGCAUUUCAUGUAGUCUGAAAUUCUAAAUGGUUCUCUGAUUUGAGGGAGGUUAAACAUCAAACAGGUUUCCUCUAUUGGCCAUAACAUGUAUAAAAUGUGUGUUAAGGAGGAAUUACAACGUACUUUGAUUUGAAUACUAGUAGAAACUGGCCAGGAAAAAGGUACAUUUUUCUAAAAAUUAAUGGAUCACUUGGGAAUUACUGACUUGACUAGAAGUAUCAAAGGAUGUUUGCAUGUGAAUGUGGGUUAUGUUCUUUCCCACCUUGUAGCAUAUUCGAUGAAAGUUGAGUUAACUGAUAGCUAAAAAUCUGUUUUAACAGCAUGUAAAAAGUUAUUUUAUCUGUUAAAAGUCAUUAUACAGUUUUGAAUGUUAUGUAGUUUCUUUUUAACAGUUUAGGUAAUAAGGUCUGUUUUCAUUCUGGUGCUUUUAUUAAUUUUGAUAGUAUGAUGUUACUUACUACUGAAAUGUAAGCUAGAGUGUACACUAGAAUGUAAGCUCCAUGAGAGCAGGUACCUUGUCUGUCUUCUCUGCUGUAUCUAUUCCCAACGCUUGAUGAUGGUGCCUGGCACAUAGUAGGCACUCAAUAAAUAUUUGUUGAAUGAA
This 1529-nucleotide long non-coding RNA is filed under the name Homo sapiens (human). RNAcentral describes it as "long non-coding RNA NONHSAT159003.1". The record is from RNAcentral. Lineage: Eukaryota; Metazoa; Chordata; Mammalia; Primates; Hominidae.